Molecule: ribosomal RNA, 253 nt
Filed under: uncultured bacterium
Lineage: Bacteria
Description: partial 16S ribosomal RNA
Rfam family: Bacterial small subunit ribosomal RNA
Source: RNAcentral
UACAGAGGUCUCAAGCGUUGUUCGGAUUCAUUGGGCGUAAAGGGUGCGUAGGUGGCGCCGUAAGUCAGGUGUGAAAUCUCGGGGCUCAACCCCGAAACUGCACUUGAUACUGCGGUGCUCGAGUACUGGAGAGGAGAUUGGAAUUUACGGUGUAGCAGUGAAAUGCGUAGAUAUCGUAAGGAAGACCAGUGGCGAAGGCGGUUCUCUGGGCCUGACCUGACGCUGAGGAGCGAAAGCGUGGGGAGCGAACAGG